Molecule: transfer RNA, 76 nt
Filed under: Candidatus Komeilibacteria bacterium RIFCSPLOWO2_01_FULL_45_10
Lineage: Bacteria; Candidatus Komeiliibacteriota
Description: tRNA-Thr
Rfam family: tRNA
About the family: Transfer RNA (tRNA) molecules are approximately 80 nucleotides in length. Their secondary structure includes four short double-helical elements and three loops (D, anti-codon, and T loops).
Source: RNAcentral
GCCGGAGUAGCUCAGUUGGUAGAGCAGCACUUUCGUAAAGUGAAGGUCAGCGGUUCAAUUCCGCUCUCCGGCUCCA